ACCCGGUUGGCUCAGUCAGUGGAGAAUGUGACUCUUGAUCCCAGGGUUGUGAGUUCGAGCCCCACAUCGGGCG
RNAcentral lists this transfer RNA (73 nucleotides) under Felis catus (domestic cat). It matches the Rfam family "tRNA". Rfam says of the family: Transfer RNA (tRNA) molecules are approximately 80 nucleotides in length. Their secondary structure includes four short double-helical elements and three loops (D, anti-codon, and T loops). Further hydrogen bonds mediate the characteristic L-shaped molecular structure. tRNAs have two regions of fundamental functional importance: the anti-codon, which is responsible for specific mRNA codon recognition, and the 3' end, to which the tRNAs corresponding amino acid is attached (by aminoacyl-tRNA synthetases). tRNAs cope with the degeneracy of the genetic code in two manners: having more than one tRNA (with a specific anti-codon) for a particular amino acid; and 'wobble' base-pairing, i.e. permitting non-standard base-pairing at the 3rd anti-codon position. The record is from Rfam by way of RNAcentral. Lineage: Eukaryota; Metazoa; Chordata; Mammalia; Carnivora; Felidae. RNAcentral also lists the same sequence under 3 other names.